This 73-nucleotide microRNA precursor is filed under the name Drosophila willistoni. Its description in RNAcentral is "mir-8/mir-141/mir-200 microRNA precursor family". It matches the Rfam family "mir-8/mir-141/mir-200 microRNA precursor family". Rfam says of the family: The bounds of the precursors are predicted based on conservation and base pairing and are not generally known. Lineage: Eukaryota; Metazoa; Arthropoda; Insecta; Diptera; Drosophilidae. The record is from Rfam by way of RNAcentral.
GUUCACAUCUUACCGGGCAGCAUUAGAUUUUGUACUAUAGAUAUCUCUAAUACUGUCAGGUAAAGAUGUCGUC